RNAcentral lists this ribosomal RNA (305 nucleotides) under uncultured bacterium. RNAcentral's name for it is "bacterial SSU rRNA". It matches the Rfam family "Bacterial small subunit ribosomal RNA", at positions 337 to 659 of the family's 1533-position model. The record is from RNAcentral.
UCCUACGGGAGGCAGCAGUGGGGGAUAUUGCACAAUGGGGGGAACCCUGAUGCAGCGACGCCGCGUGGGUGAAGGAGCGUUUCGGCGCGUAAAGCCCUAUCGGCAGGGAAGAAGGUGACGGUACCUGACCAAGAAGCCCCGGCUAACUACGUGCCAGCAGCCGCGGUAAUACGUAGGGGGCAAGCGUUGUCCGGAUUUACUGGGUGUAAAGGGGGCGCAGACGGCCAUGCAAGCCAGGAGUGAAAGCCCGGGGCCCAACCCCGGGACUGCUCUUGGAACUUCAUGGCUGGAGUACAGGAGGGGCG